AGCCAAACCCACGUCCUCUAAAGAAGAUUGUAUUUACUCUUCUGUCCAGCCCGGGUGCUCAUCAGAUGGAGGGUCCAGUGAUGCAACGUAUGCUCAAGUUAGAAAGGGAGCCAAAAAACCUGGAAACAAAAAUGCUUGACAAUAACACAGGUUCACUUCAAGUGACUCCAACUGCACACUGAUGAAGUAGCAAAGCCUGGAUGUGUGAGAUCAACAUCAUGAUCAAGAGCCAUGCACCCAUAAACAUCAUUUAACCAGAAGUAACGGGUAUCAACAGGUUGUGUUAGUGAGAAGCACAGUGACUGCACUGCCAGAGUUAUUCCUUCCCUGUGCUGAGUGUCUUUCUGGUACUUUAGUAUAAUACAUGUUUAUCAUCUUUGACUGAAUGCUACAAUAGCCCCGGGAAACUGUGUAAACAGGAACAUACUGUAUUACAUUUUUCUUGUGAUGUUUCUAUGUAUCAUUGCCAUAA
Clupea harengus (Atlantic herring) is the source of this 472-nucleotide long non-coding RNA. RefSeq lists it as uncharacterized. Lineage: Eukaryota; Metazoa; Chordata; Actinopteri; Clupeiformes; Clupeidae. The transcript is spliced from 3 exons. The record is from RefSeq and is a predicted model, not a curated record.